RNAcentral lists this ribosomal RNA (331 nucleotides) under uncultured bacterium. RNAcentral describes it as "bacterial SSU rRNA". It matches the Rfam family "Bacterial small subunit ribosomal RNA", at positions 8 to 334 of the family's 1533-position model. The record is from RNAcentral.
AGGGUUUGAUUAUGGCUCAGGACGAACGCUGGCGGCGCGCCUAACACAUGCAAGUCGAACGAGCGAGAGGAGUUUUACUUUCUCAAGCGAGUGGCGAACGGGUGAGUAACGCGUGAGGAACCUGCCUCAAAGAGGGGGACAACAGUUGGAAACGACUGCUAAUACCGCAUAAGCCCACGACCCGGCAUCGGGUAGAGGGAAAAGGAGCAAUCCGCUUUGAGAUGGCCUCGCGUCCGAUUAGCUAGUUGGUGAGGUAAUGGCCCACCAAGGCGACGAUCGGUAGCCGGACUGAGAGGUUGAACGGCCACAUUGGGACUGAGACACGGUCCAG